Molecule: long non-coding RNA, 2114 nt
Organism: Equus asinus (donkey)
Lineage: Eukaryota; Metazoa; Chordata; Mammalia; Perissodactyla; Equidae
Source: Ensembl
GCCCCCCUGUACAUAGUUGUGUAUUCCAGCUGUGGGUCCUUCCAGUUCUGCUGUGUGGGACGCCAUCUCAGCGUGGCUUGAUGAGCGGUGCUAGGUCUGUGCCCAGGAUCCGAACCAGUGAAACCCCGGGCUGCUGAAGUGGAGCACGUGAACUAACCACUCAGCCACGGGGCCAGCCCCAGAAUGGAUAACCUGGUUAUCCUCAGAUGCUCCCCCAGACCUGGAGUUCUCGGCUCUGCUGAAAAUGAUGCUGCAUCCAGCUAAUCCAAGGUGGCACUGUGAAGGGGGGACUGCUUCAGAACUACAAGCACAGCAAGAGGAUUAAAGGCACCACACCCACCUGCUCAUAUGGGAAAGGACAUGAAAGGGAAGAGAGCAGGCAUGAAUGGGUGCGAUCUUAGCAGGGGGCCUAGGAAAGAAGAAUGGGAAAAUUCAAGUGAGAGGCAGGUGCUGCGGGGAAGGUUGGAUGUAAGACCAUUUUUAAGAGACCAGACUAUCACAUCAGGCCCUGGCCACCUCCAGCUGGGAAGGCCAUCGUGGGCCAGGGCCAGCGUGAGCCCUCGUGGGCAGGAGACAUGAGGAGCCUGUAGAAUCAGAGAGGCUCAGGGAGCAAGAGGCAGCGAGGUGCAGCUGAAAGAAGAUACACUUCGGACUCAGAGAUGGUUUGGGGUCAGCGAGCUCCUGGUGCUACGAGGGUGUCCCCCCGUGCAGGUCACUUCACGCUCUGAGCCUCAGUGUCUGCUGCUGCAAGAGAGUAUUCUCGCCUUCACUUUUCCACGGCUUAGCUGUUUCUCAGCCUUCAGGUCUCAGAAUAACAACGACUGCCACUAUUGUUACUGCUUCCACUGCUACGUUUACCGAGGGUUCAGGGUGUGCUUGGCCCUGUGGGAAGCACUCUCUGUCCUCUGCCUCAACCAACAGGACUUCCGAGAGGUGCAGUCGAAAGAAUACAUACUUCAGACUUGGAGAUGUGCUUGGGGUCAGCUAGGUCCCCGUCCUACGAGCUGUGCAACCCUGAAAUUGGCCCAUGGUGGCAAACGCUGGUGUUUGGGUCUGCUCAGCCUCCAUUGCCCUUCUUCCUGUGAUUUACUUCGAGGACGUGCUCCUCCCUGUUCAGCAUGGUGUUGCAGUUUGAAGUCUGCAAAGGGCAGGAGCAGGGCCGGCCCGGUGGCGCAGCAGUUAAGUGUGCACGUUCUGCUUCAGCGGCCCGGGGUUCUCCGGUUCGGAUCCCGGGUGCGGACAUGGCACCACUUGGCACGCCAUGCUGGGGUAGGCGUCCCGCAUAUAAAGUGGAGGAAGAUGGGCAUGGAUGUUAGCUCAGGGCCAGUCUUCCUCACCAAAAAGAGGAGGAUUGGCAGCAGUUAGCUCAGGGCUAAUCUUCCUCAAGAAAAAAAAGGGGGGGUGGGCAGGAGCUGGCCCUUCCCAAGUGUGGCAACGCCAGGGCCUGGGCUGAGCUCCUGCUGCUGAGGUCCCCAGAGCUGCUGGUGCUGACUCCUGAGGCCAGCUCCAGCUCUGCCUCACUCGGUCACCACCCUCCCUUCACCCACCAUGGCCUCUCCCUCACCCGGAGGAGCGGAGGCCAGUGUGGCUUGCAGCCCAGGUGCCCUGACUGAGACACUCAGAAGACACCCCUGGGCACUCUUGCUUCAGAGCCAUUCCUUCCCCAUAAGUGGGGUCUUUGUUACCCACUUGGGAGCCUUUCAGAAAUAAGAUGUUGAAAAAAUUAAUUAGUGCAUUUAAAAGAUGAAGACAACGGUUUCUUCUCUUCUGCGCUUUCUCUCUGGAAAGAAAAGGGAGAUGUUGAUCCCAAACCCCAGGUUCCCAGGAACACACAGCCAGGCACAGGCUCCCUGGCAGUCCCCAGUCCUUGAUCAUCCACAGGCAGAGGAACCCAGGUGUCUGCUCACCCCAGCCCCCGUCCGGCACGGCCGGGCCUCUGCUCACCGUGAACAGACGCCUCUGCCUAGUGUUGGUGCCUCUCUCUCCGCCCUGGUCAGUGCUGCUUAAUGAACCGCAAAACACUUCCAGCCGCUCUCCGCGGGCUGACCACUCGUAAAUGACUGCCCUGGUGCCUCAUGGUGAAAAAUGCAUCUCCAAUCUCCGGGCAGCAACAG